Patella vulgata (common limpet) is the source of this 3136-nucleotide RNA transcript. It is a transcript of the gene named protein suppressor of hairy wing-like, with no coding region annotated. The record is from RefSeq and is a predicted model, not a curated record. The transcript is spliced from 5 exons. NCBI's taxonomy places the organism in Eukaryota, Metazoa, Mollusca, Gastropoda, Patellidae.
ACGUGGCUAAGUGGGUAAGACUCUGGCUCAUUGGCCUGGAGGUCGGGUGUUCGAUCCCUGCAUUGGCCGAGAAAGUUCAUCCAGAUUUUCCAGCGUGGUUCCCCCUUGUCAGUGAUGCAGGACGGAGGGCCUGACAAGGACAGCUGUCUAGUCAUGUGGAUGGGACGAAAAACUGAGGUCUUGUGUAUACAUUGGAAUGCACGUAAAAGAUCCCUUGGCAGUUGGAAGUAGGCGAUAGUGCCGCUGCCCGGGCAAAAUUUCCCUCAUAGCACACUGUAUGGCGUAUGCCCGUCUUUAUUAACCCAGCAUAGGACUUUUACGGCCGACCUCCUGGAUCCAUUCACUCGAUCUGAUAUGUACAGUUGUUGUGUGGUGCAGUAGCAGAUAUUGGACAGGUCAGUCGAUUUGCACUGGCCAAGACAGUUAACAUGGAUUUUCCACAGGGUUCCCCCUAGUCACUGGUGCAGAAUGGGACACUUGUCAGUCUGAUUCCAAAUCAGAGUAGGCCGCUGUCCGGACAUAAUUUCCUACAUAGCACACCGUAUGACAUAUGCCCAUUUUAAUUAGCCCAGUCGGAACAGAACAGUAGGACAUUAAUCUUGAUUUCAUUUCAAACAUUUAGAAAUAUUUUUUUCUCUAUUUUAGAUAAAACAAACUGAACAAGUUGGAUCAGGAAAGACUAUCACAAUGCCUAGAAGAAAAAGGAGCAAAGGGAUUAAAAAUUUACAACAACAUUGGCGUAAAUGGCGUGAUAGCAUUGCAGAUAAGCCCCUUCCUGAUUCAACAAAUGAACCCCUUCCUGAUUCAACAAAUGAACCCCUUCCUGGAUCACAAGAUCAACCUCUUCCUGGAUCACAAGAUGGACGCUUUCCUGGAUCACGAGAUGAACCCCUUCCGGGAUCAAUAGAUGAACCCUUUCCUGGAUCAAUAGAUGAACACUUUCCUGGAUCACGAGAUGAACCCCUUCCGGGAUCACCGGAUCAACCCCAUCCUGCUUCAAGAGAUCAACUGGAAACUAAUAAUGUUAAAACAUUCCAUCAUUGUGUUUUUUGUGAUGAGAUUUUUAAAGAGUACAGUGAUCUAGAUCUUCACUAUGAACUACACGUGAACAAGAAGAUCCAUGUUGAAGGAGAAAAAAUUGACAGUAUCGUAAAACACCGCAAAAGACAUGUUAAAACGGGGCAAAUUGCUAAUGUUGUAAAACUCCGCAAAAGACAUGUUAAAACGGGGCAAAUUGCUAAUGUUGUAAAACACCGCAAAAGACAUGUUAAAAAGGGGCAAAUUGCUAAUGUUGUAAAACACAGCAAAAGACAUGUUAAAAAAGACGAUAUUGAUAAUGCGGUAAAACUCCACAAAAGACAUGUUCAAGAAGAAAAAAUUGAUUUGGAAAAACUUCACAAGAAACAUGUUAAAGAAGAGGAAAUUGAUAACUUGAAUUAUUUUCAGUGUAACUUGUGUGAAAGAAAAUUUGAUUUAUACCCUGAUUUAGAAGAACAUUGUAAAAUACAUAUGGAAUAUGAAGAAUCUCCUAUCAUAGGACAAAAUGUUAAAGAAGGCGAAUCUAUUGCAAGUACUUUAUAUCAAUGUACAUUAUGUCAAAUUUGCUUUGAGCAAUAUUUUGACCUGGAAGAACAUUGUAAACUUCAUGGAUAUCAAUGUACAGGCAGAGUUAGGUCUUCCAUUAGACACUGUAUUGCCCUGAGCCGGUAGAUUUAAUAAAAGAACAUCAGAGAAAUAUAAAAUGAUUGAACUCAGUCAUGGGUAUGGUGUGUUCAUAUAUCCAUCAGAUCUCGUCCACGUCAAGAAAUUAUUCGAGAAAACAAAGAGUGGACAAUCCGUGACUCGUCACCUUCUGAGCGUCAUGUUUACAAAAGAAAAGCUAUGUUUCGGUUCAGUAUCAAAAGAUCCUAAACCUGGUCUGGCGUCAUUGGAUGCAACCGUAGUUCAAGCCAUAAGAGAUUACUGUGUAGCAAUGUCAAAGGACAAGAACGUGGCCAUUAAUCAAGCUCUUCACAACAAAUUAACCACGUACAGAUAUAAGGCGAGGUGUAGGGCAACAAGUCCUGAAUACUGAUCAUUGACAGUGCUUAUCUAGAUGAAAUUAUUGAUGACGAAACCCCCGUGCUUAUUGAAGGAGUCAAGUCGCUAACUAACUCAAUAUCAUCCAGUCUUCGACAAUGCAAACAGAAACGAUUGAUGUUUCAGUCAAAAUGAAAAUAUUAACAUUGGCACUUGAAUCGCGUGUAGAAUGCUUCGGGUACCAUUUGCAUUAAGGGACUCGAUGAAGGAGACUAAAUAUAUCCCACGUAGAAGAAUAUUACCUUUUAAAUUCAGACCCUUCGCGUAUUUCGCCAAACAUAACUGAUUAUAAAUUACAGUAUGAUAGAAACGAUUGAAUGUAAAUCAGGUUAUAUAUAUUCAUAAUACAUUAUUAUGUGUUGCGACCUAUUUGUGUCCAUUACUGGGUGCCACAGAAUAGAGAUUUAGCUCUUUCUGGGUUGAUUGCUUAUUAUAUUCAAAUACUAGAUUGGUGGGGAAAACCCGUUCUUAUUUAAUCAAGAUGCUGAGUUGGUGGAGAGAUUUAAGGCCAAGAGUAGCGGAAAGAUAUCAGUAGAAUAUACCACAAGUUCCAAAUACCGAUUAUUGAUAGUGCUUUUAUUGCUGGGUUUGUGGGGGAAACACCGGAUUGUUUAGUUAAAGUGCUGGAUGGUGGGGGAUACCCCGUGAUUAUUUAAUAAAUAUACUGGGUUGGCGGGGAACCCCGGGCUUGUUUAGUUAAAAUAUUGGGUUGGUGGGGAAAUCCCGGGCCUGUUUAGUUAAAAUACUGGGUUGUUGAGGAAAAUAAAUUUAUCUUUAAAUUGAAUCCGACCUCUGUUUUAUUGUCUCUGAAACAUUUCCACCGCGGCGCCCUAACCUAACCAGGCGGUGUGGCGUGUUUCAUUGACUUGAAGACCAUGAUAAAAGUGACCGUAAAUAUAAAAGUAAAUAUAAAAGUAAACAUAAUCAAUCGCUGUUUUAAUGAAAUGCAAAUAUGCUUGUUUUUGUUCAGUUAAUAUCGAUGUGAUUCAUGAUGUCAUAAAUCAACCUCUUCUAUGUACCAGUUUGCAUACAUGAAAUAAAAGGGAGUAAAAUGAGA